This 346-nucleotide ribosomal RNA is filed under the name Lentilactobacillus parabuchneri. RNAcentral's name for it is "bacterial LSU rRNA". It matches the Rfam family "Bacterial large subunit ribosomal RNA", at positions 147 to 488 of the family's 2925-position model. The record is from RNAcentral. Lineage: Bacteria; Bacillati; Bacillota; Bacilli; Lactobacillales; Lactobacillaceae.
GUUACUAUAUAGUGAAUUCAUAGCUAUAUAGAGGUAGACGUGGGGAACUGAAACAUCUCAGUACCCACAGGAGCAGAAAGAAAUUUCGAUUCCCUAAGUAGCGGCGAGCGAACGGGGAACAGCCCAAACCAACGAGCUUGCUCGUUGGGGUUGUAGGACUGAACAUUUGAGUUACCAAAGUUGUUGAUAAUCGAACAAUCUGGGAAGGUUGGCGAAACAGGGUGAUAGCCCCGUAGGUGAAAUCAAUGACCCUCAGUUCAGGAUCCUGAGUACGGCGACACACGUGAAACGUCGUCGGAAUCCGGGAGGACCAUCUCCCAAGGCUAAAUACUCUCUAGUGACCGAU